AAAUAUUUUUAUCUCUUUGAAAUUUGUCCUGGUGGGACCCUUUGCUUAGGCAUUGAGUGUUCCGAA
Molecule: non-coding RNA, 66 nt
Organism: Drosophila virilis
Lineage: Eukaryota; Metazoa; Arthropoda; Insecta; Diptera; Drosophilidae
Source: Rfam